GAUGAACGCUGGCGGCGUGCUUAACACAUGCAAGUCGAACGGUGAAGGCGGAGCUUGCUCUGCUGGAUCAGUGGCGAACGGGUGAGUAACACGUGAGCAAUCUGCCCCUGACUGUGGGAUAAGCGCUGGAAACGGCGUCUAAUACUGGAUACGAGCUGCGAAGGCAUCUUCAGCAGCUGGAAAGAAUUUCGGUCAGGGAUGGGCUCGCGGCCUAUCAGCUUGUUGGUGAGGUAAUGGCUCACCAAGGCGUCGACGGGUAGCCGGCCUGAGAGGGUGACCGGCCACACUGGGACUGAGACACGGCCCAGACUCCUACGGGACGCAGCAGUGGGGAAUAUUGCACAAUGGGCGAAAGCCUGAUGCAGCAACGCCGCGUGAGGGAAGACGGGCUGCGGUUUGUAAACCUCUUUUAGCAGGGAAGAAGCGAUAGUGACGGUACCUGCAGAAAAAGCGCCGGCUAACUACGUG
This 468-nucleotide ribosomal RNA is filed under the name uncultured bacterium. RNAcentral's name for it is "partial 16S ribosomal RNA". It matches the Rfam family "Bacterial small subunit ribosomal RNA", at positions 28 to 507 of the family's 1533-position model. The record is from RNAcentral.